GGGAAUUAAAUGGUAGGAAUCAUGUCCUGUUAGGUUUCGUGGGAUGGGGUGAUCCUCCAUUCCCCGUCCCCGUCCCCGUCCCCUACAGAGACCCGCAUAGGGUUCAAGUUUAAUUUUCGGUCCAAGUUUAAUUUGUUUACUUAUCUUAUGUGAUUAAUCUUGUGUUUUUAUCAUAUGUAUUAGUGGGUAUAAGUUGCUAUAUUAAUAUAAAGUGUGAAUAUAUGUGUUGCAUUGCAUAUAGAAUUUCACAUCUAUAUAUUGUUUUAAGCAGGGAUGUAGACCCUACGGGGAUUAAUUCCCGCGGAGAUAGGAACAAGUUUUCCCCAUUGUAUUUCGCGGGAGCAGGGAUGGGGAUGCAUUCCUCGACGGGGAAUUCCUAUUUGCCAUAUCUAGCCGGAAUAAAGAAAUCCGGUGCUCUCAUAUCAUGUUAAUUUUAGUGAAUUGGGGAUUUUCAACAGUGCAUUGAUUUAGCCCUAAAUAGCAUAUAUAUUAUGUACACAAGAGAAGGGAAAGUAUUCUAAUACCCUUGACAUCUACUAGACUUAACAGUAAAUUUGCUUGGUACUGCUAGAAACAAAGAAACUACAUACCUUUCCAAUAUUGAUAUACGGAACCUGAGAAUCAAUUCUACCUACAAAGUCCACAAUAUUAUCAUAGUUAGAACAUUCUUCUAGUCCAUAUUGAUGAGAUGGCGGUAAAUUUAUUUUCUCCAAGUUGGCAAUGCAUGACUGUGGCAGACCAUAGAUGCUCUCCAGGGAAUCAUGUUCACUAACUGUGCUCUCUUCCUCUAAAUACUUCGAAUUGUAAAACAAUGGGUCAGUGAUAGUCAACUCGUCCAAGUGGGUGCUUAGAAGUUCUGUCCAUUGGCGAAGUUGAUCUCGUGAGCCUUCGAUAUGCAGUUUUGAUUUCAAUCUAGGGAUCGACUUCUGCAUAGCAUGUUCGUGUGGAGGGAUCGCAGUACCUUGUCCUGAAUGUGAGCAUCCUUCAGUAUACUGAUCAUAUGGACGUGAUGG
This 1013-nucleotide small RNA is filed under the name Oryza sativa Japonica Group (Japanese rice). Its description in RNAcentral is "sRNA Os06g0644400". The record is from RNAcentral. Lineage: Eukaryota; Viridiplantae; Streptophyta; Magnoliopsida; Poales; Poaceae.